AUGACCUUGGGGCUCAGUUGGCUUUUCCUUGUCAUUGUUUUAAAAGGUGUCCAGUGUGAGGUUCAGCUUGUGGAGUCAGAAGGAGGCUUGGUGCAACCUGGAAAGUCCCUGAAACUCUCCUGUGUGGCCUCUGGAUUCACCUUCAGUAACCACUGGAUGAGCUGGGUCCGCCAGGCUCCAGGGAAGACCCUGGAGUGGGUCGCAUCUAUUUAUGAUAGUAAUAGCAUCUACUACACCGAUGCUGUGAAGGGACGAUUCACCAUCUCCAGAGACAAUGCCAGGAACACUGGAAAUGGGCAGUUUGAAGUCUGA
Molecule: non-coding RNA, 312 nt
Organism: Microtus oregoni (creeping vole)
Lineage: Eukaryota; Metazoa; Chordata; Mammalia; Rodentia; Cricetidae
Source: the annotation of a RefSeq genome assembly